AGUGAACGCUGGCGGUAGGCCUAACACAUGCAAGUCGAACGGCAGCACAGUAAGAGCUUGCUCUUACGGGUGGCGAGUGGCGGACGGGUGAGGAAUACAUCGGAAUCUACUUUUUCGUGGGGGAUGACGUAGGGAAACUUACGCUAAUACCGCAUACGACCUACGGGUGAAAGCAGGGGAUCUUCGGACCUUGCGCGAUUGAAUGAGCCGAUGUCGGAUUAGCUAGUUGGCGGGGUAAAGGCCCACCAAGGCGACGAUCCGUAGCUGGUCUGAGAGGAUGAUCAGCCACACUGGAACUGAGACACGGUCCAGACUCCUACGGGAGGCAGCAGUGGGGAAUAUUGGACAAUGGGCGCAAGCCUGAUCCAGCCAUACCGCGUGGGUGGAGAAGGCCUUCGGGUUGUAAAGCCCUUUUGUUGGGAAAGAAAAGCAGCAGGUUAAUACCCCGCUGUUCUGACGGUACCCAAAGAAUAAGCACCGGCUAACUUCGUG
This 492-nucleotide ribosomal RNA is filed under the name uncultured bacterium. RNAcentral describes it as "partial 16S ribosomal RNA". It matches the Rfam family "Bacterial small subunit ribosomal RNA", at positions 29 to 507 of the family's 1533-position model. The record is from RNAcentral.